This 465-nucleotide ribosomal RNA is filed under the name Vreelandella stevensii. RNAcentral describes it as "partial 16S ribosomal RNA". It matches the Rfam family "Bacterial small subunit ribosomal RNA", at positions 338 to 795 of the family's 1533-position model. Lineage: Bacteria; Pseudomonadati; Pseudomonadota; Gammaproteobacteria; Oceanospirillales; Halomonadaceae. The record is from RNAcentral.
CCUACGGGUGGCUGCAGUGGGGAAUAUUGGACAAUGGGCGAAAGCCUGAUCCAGCCAUGCCGCGUGUGUGAAGAAGGCCUUCGGGUUGUAAAGCACUUUCAGUGGGGAAGAAAGCCUUGGGGCUAAUACCCUCGAGGAAGGACAUCACCCACAGAAGAAGCACCGACUAACUCCGUGCCAGCAGCCGCGGUAAUACGGAGGGUGCGAGCGUUAAUCGGAAUUACUGGGCGUAAAGCGCGCGUAGGCGGUCUGAUAAGCCGGUUGUGAAAGCCCCGGGCUCAACCUGGGAACGGCAUCCGGAACUGUCAGGCUAGAGUGCAGGAGAGGAAGGUAGAAUUCCCGGUGUAGCGGUGAAAUGCGUAGAGAUCGGGAGGAAUACCAGUGGCGAAGGCGGCCUUCUGGACUGACACUGACGCUGAGGUGCGAAAGCGUGGGUAGCAAACAGGAUUAGAUACCCCAGUAGUC